RNAcentral lists this ribosomal RNA (253 nucleotides) under uncultured bacterium. Its description in RNAcentral is "partial 16S ribosomal RNA". It matches the Rfam family "Bacterial small subunit ribosomal RNA", at positions 524 to 776 of the family's 1533-position model. The record is from RNAcentral.
UACGUAGGGGCCGAGCGUUGUCCGGAGUUAUUGGGCGUAAAGCGCGCGCAGGCGGCCUCGCGCGCCCGACGUGAAAGCCCCCGGCUUAACCGGGGAGGGUCGUUGGGGACGGCGGGGCUUGAGGGCGGGAGAGGGUGGUGGAAUUCCCGGUGUAGUGGUGAAAUGCGCAGAUAUCGGGAAGAACACCCGUGGCGAAGGCGGUUCUCUGGGACGGUACUGACGCUGAGACGCGAAAGCGUGGGGAGCGAACAGG